This 193-nucleotide ribosomal RNA is filed under the name uncultured bacterium. RNAcentral describes it as "partial 16S ribosomal RNA". It matches the Rfam family "Bacterial small subunit ribosomal RNA", at positions 338 to 524 of the family's 1533-position model. The record is from RNAcentral.
CCUACGGGAGGCAGCAGUGGGGAAUUUUAGACAAUGGGCGCAAGCCUGAUCCAGCUAUGCCGCGUGAGUGAAGAAGGCCUUCGGGUUCUAAAGCUCUUUUGUCAGGGAACAAACGGUGAACUCUAAUACAGUUUGCUAAUGACGGUACCUGAAGAAUAAGCACCGGUAACUACGUGCCAGCAGGCGCGGUAAU